UACAGGGGGUGCAAACGUUGCUCGGAAUCAUUGGGCGUAAAGCGCACGUAGGCGGUUCGUUAUGUCGGAUGUGAAAGCCCUUGGCUUAACCGAGGAAGUGCAUCCGAAAACUGGCGAGCUAGAGUACGAAAAGAGGAUCGCGGAAUUCCCGGUGUAGAGGUGAAAUUCGUAGAUAUCGGGGAGGAACACCGGUGGCGAAGGCGGCAUCCUGGACCAACACUGACACUGAGGAGCGAAAGCCAGGGGGAGCAAACGGGG
This 258-nucleotide ribosomal RNA is filed under the name uncultured bacterium. RNAcentral describes it as "partial 16S ribosomal RNA". It matches the Rfam family "Bacterial small subunit ribosomal RNA", at positions 524 to 777 of the family's 1533-position model. The record is from RNAcentral.